GAUUAGCCUUAGUAACGGCGAGUGAAGCGGCAAAAGCUCAAAUUUGAAAUCUGGCACCUUCGGUGUCCGAGUUGUAAUUUGAAGAAGGUAACUUUGGAGUUGGCUCUUGUCUAUGUUCCUUGGAACAGGACGUCACAGAGGGUGAGAAUCCCGUGCGAUGAGAUGCCCAAUUCUAUGUAAAGUGCUUUCGAAGAGUCGAGUUGUUUGGGAAUAAA
RNAcentral lists this ribosomal RNA (215 nucleotides) under Debaryomyces hansenii. RNAcentral describes it as "partial 26S ribosomal RNA". It matches the Rfam family "Eukaryotic large subunit ribosomal RNA", at positions 73 to 284 of the family's 3401-position model. Lineage: Eukaryota; Fungi; Ascomycota; Pichiomycetes; Serinales; Debaryomycetaceae. The record is from RNAcentral.